AUUUAAGUAGUUUAUUAAAAAUAUUGAUUUGUGGUGUCAAAGAAAUUAUUUAAUCUUAAAUU
This 62-nucleotide transfer RNA is filed under the name Nephus reunioni. RNAcentral describes it as "tRNA-His". Lineage: Eukaryota; Metazoa; Arthropoda; Insecta; Coleoptera; Coccinellidae. The record is from RNAcentral.